Magnolia sinica is the source of this 519-nucleotide long non-coding RNA. RefSeq lists it as uncharacterized. Lineage: Eukaryota; Viridiplantae; Streptophyta; Magnoliopsida; Magnoliales; Magnoliaceae. The transcript has 3 exons. The record is from RefSeq and is a predicted model, not a curated record.
ACACUGGGGGAGGUAGAGGUGGUUAUGGUGGGGACAGGCGCAGAGACAAUUACGGGGAUGGUGGAGGUUCUGGCCCUGACAGGCAUCACCACGGGGGGCAAAGGUCACGUCCGUACUGAAGAAUCCAUGUUGAAGAGUUGCAGUGACAAGCAUUUCAUGUUAACUAAGAGUGUCAAAGGAGGGAAUUCUCUCAAUUGGUAUUUGCAAGGUUGUACCAGAGCCAGAGACUUAAAAGAGACAAGUGGAUAAUCUACAAAUUGCUGGUAGGUUGAGAUUUUCAGAAUGAUGGGGCGGGAGAUGCGAUGCUAUGCUCAUCCCUGGCCAUCAUCAUGUCUUCUUCAUGGACGGAUUCUCUCAUCAUAUGAAGAUGUGUUUACUAGAAUAUAUACCACGCACAUCUAUAUAUAAGUGAGAAUGGUGGCCACUCAUCAGGUGAGGUCCAUAAACCUUCUGCAGGCUGGAAAAAUCAACAUCAGUUAUCAGGUGGGCUGUAUGCUUCAACAAAUAUACUGUUGGUCA